Molecule: RNA transcript, 3963 nt
Organism: Xiphophorus couchianus (Monterrey platyfish)
Lineage: Eukaryota; Metazoa; Chordata; Actinopteri; Cyprinodontiformes; Poeciliidae
Gene: rwdd3
Gene name: RWD domain containing 3
Exons: 6
Source: RefSeq, a predicted model, not a curated record
AUUUGGGGUCCUUUGGUUCUGCAACGUCAGGGAUAAGCAUAACCAGCAUCAGCCACCAAAGUUAAAGGAAUCUGGUUACCAGUAACACUGAAACAACUCAAUUCAUUAAACCGGACAGUAAUGAGAAGCGAACGUGAGCAAAAAAUGUUUUAAAAAAUUCACCAAUCGAAUGUAGUGCUUUAAAAUAUGGGGUAUUUAUGAAGCUGCUGAGGGCGACAGAGCGUGUGAACGUUGAUCAUGUCGGACGCAGCUAUUGAGGAAGUUUCAGUUUUAUCGUCCAUUUACUGCAGAGACGGAGAGUUCCAAAUUGUUCAACAGUCUGCACAGGAUGGGCUGGUGGUCCAGCUCAACUGCACUGGUGGGAGAGGCGGGAAGCUGAAUGUGAGUGCAGUGUUCCAUCUAGACCCCAGCUACCCUUCCUGUCCUCCUCAUAUUUCUAUCUCCACCACCGGCCUGUCUAAGAUUCAGUGUCACAACAUCAGGCAGAAGCUGAUGACUCGAGCUGCAGAACUUCCCCCAGAACCAAUGCUGCUCCAGCUGGUGGAAUACUUGCAGCAGGAAUGUGUGGAACAGACAGAGGACCAGACAGAAGAACAGGACGGAACAGGGGAAGAGAAAAACAACCAGCAGGAAUGGACAGCGGUUCUGCUGCUUGACCACAUCAGAUCUCGAAACCGAUAUAUCGGACUCCUGGAGCGCUGGAGCCAGCAGCUGCAGCUCACCUGUAGACUUUUACUAGGACGCAAUCCAUUGAUUAUUCUGCUGGGGGAGAGACCCAACAUCAAGGAGUUUUGUCACCAUUUAAAGACUGUUAAGGUGGAUGUGGACUCUUCAGGUAAGAAAUGCAAAGAGAGGAUGAUGAAGGUUCUUGCUGAGACCCCAUAUUCCUCCCUCUGUCAACAUAGUCUGCAGGGAUUCAUAGUGAAGGACUACAAGUCAUUAUCAGAGCUGACUGCUGUCUUUGAGGAGCUGAACCUGGCUGAGCUUUACCAACAGAUGCUGCCUACAUUAAGCGGUUAGGAGAAGAACUGUCAUAUCUGCUUCUUAUGUCUAUUUAUAUUGGAUUCACAGACCUACAUCUAAUAUUUGCUUUUUAUUUGAGCUGUUCAUUUUAUAUCAAUAAGUUUGUAUUGCUUUAAACGUUUGUCCUACCUUUUGUCCUGCUAAUCUAGUCUUUGUUACAUUCAAAGACAUUAUCAUUAAACGGGAAUUAGAACAUCCCUCCUCUUCAAACCUCUAUCAUUUUGAAUGUGUUCUGUCUGAUACUGUAGAAGUCAGAAUUGUUGUUUGAGUGUUACUGAAAGGCCCAAUAGAUUUACCUUCACAAGUGGAGUUUUAUAUAAUUAUAAAAAAGUUGAUUAGAAAUAGCUUUGAGCUCAUUUCAAAUGCAAUGGACAUGAAAAGAAAGAAAUGGUCCUUGGUGGGUUACAAGUCUGGGUUUGGUGAUUGCCAAGAGAAUGGUACUUGUCUGACUGCAUUGUGCCAAGUGUAAAGUUUAGUGGAGAGAGGAUUAUGGUCUAUGGUUGUUUUUUAGGAACUUGGCUUGGCCCCUUAGUUCCAGUGAAAGGAACUCUGAAUGCUUCAGCAUACCAAGACAUUUUGGACAAUUCCAUGCUCCCAACUUUGUGGUAACAGUUUGGAGCUGGCCCCUUCCUCUUCCAACAUGACUGUGCACCACAGGACAAAGCAAGAUCCAUAAAGACAUGGAUGGAGAGUCUGGUGUGGAUGAACUUGACUGUCCUGCACAGAGUCCUGACCUCAACCCAAUAGAACACCUUUGGGAUUAAUUACAGUGGAGACUGAGAGCCAGGCCUUCUCGUCCAACAUCAGUAUGUGACCUCACAAAUGCACUUCUGGAAGAAGGGUCAAAAAUCCCCAUAGACUCCUAAACCUUAUUCACAGCCUUCCCAGAAGAGUUGAAGCUGUUUUAGCUGGAGAGGGUGGGCCAACGUCAUGUUGAACCAUAUGGAUUAGGAAUGGGAUGUCACUUAAACUCAUAUGUGAGUCAAGACAGGUGAGCCAAUACUUUUGGCAAUAUAGUGUAUCUGUCCUUAUCUGUCCCAUAAAGAUAUUAUAUCUAUGUUAUUAAGAUCUAAUGUGAAAACUGCUGUUAUGUGGUGCAGGGUGGCUGUUGGUGAACCAUGUGCACUGUGUGAAAAGGCUAUACUCCUGAACUCAGCUGUAUGUCUCUAUCCUAUUUCAUAUGAACUUUCUGUUUAAGUAAGACCAGUAGUGCCAAAAAAUCUUUUUUAGAAAGAGUUCUGUCAUACUUCACAUAUUCCUUUUAUCUUUUUGCUUGAAUUGUUUUCUUUUCCUUUUAUGUCUAUUUUUUUGUUUGUAUUUUUUUCCCAAAACUUUCUUGUUAAAGCUGUUUUUAUGUUGAUGCACUGCUGGUGGAAAUUUAAUUUCCCAGUUGAAACUUCAUUAGGGAUUAAUCUAAAUUGUUUCGCCCAGGAAUGAUUAGGGGAAGUUGAGCCAGUGGUGGAGUCAUUUUAUGUGUCUGGUGUUAUUACAAUUUGUCAGCAGUAGAGGGAGUAGUAAUGCUAUUUGUCACUGUCUCCAGAUCCAUCUAAUCGUGGUUCAGUUCUAUGAAGGGGAAACAGAACAUUUUUUUGAACUGCUUAUCAAAGUGAAUGCACCUGUAUUAUCAUGUACAAGAUAAAUUUGACCUACACUUAUAUAUAUGCACACACGCACACGCCCCCCCCAUAUAUAUACAGUAUAUAUAUAUACUGUAUAUAUAGAUAGAUAGAUAGAUAGAUAGAUAGAUAGAACACUCCAGAGGAUAGUGAAGAAUUGUCCUUUACCAUCCUCAACAAUACUUUGAGGAUUCUUUACGGGUUCUUAGAACUUGCCACAGGAGCUACUGCUCAUCUUCUGCACAGCCAUCAUUCAGUCAGUCCGCUGUUUGUCCGGAAGCUCAGCAGGGCUGAGCUUCCCUCCACCCAGGACUUGUUCAGGUCAAGGGUCAGGAAAUGUGCAGCUAUUAUCUUUGCAGACCCCACACAUCCUGGAUCCUAUAGGACCUGCCAGGCAGAACAGACCCAACUAAGCAGGCAGGACAGUAUUAAUAAAAGGAAAACUCCUAGUUUAAUCUGCCAGUGGAAUUUUGAAGUUAAUAACUGUACUGCUGGUCUUUUUCUUGGGACUAUGUGUCACUGUAAGAAUAGAAAUAAAAACUAUUAUGCUAUUAUUGGGAAAGACCUGUAAAUAAAACGAACUUUUCAAAUAUUUGAAAAGCUAAGAGUUUUUAUGGACAGAAAAGAAUUAAUGCAUACAAAACUAAAAUAUUUUCACAUUUCAUCCUGUGCUUAGUAAGUUUAUUUCUGCAAUAUGUAAAAAGCUUUUCACAGUUUCUACAAGUGAGUAAAGAGGUUCCUUUUAAUCCAGAUACAAAUGCAGCUGUGAGGAGGAAGUGAGUGUUCCACCUUUAGAGAUCAUGUUGCUUCUCUGUUGAAUAAUGUCGCCUACAUACAGCGAACCAGAGGGACUGAAAUAAUACAUGGUGCUGUCUCUGAGUGGUACUAGAUUUCUGCCACUUGUCAGAACGGGGUUUUUUCUGUUCUAAAGUGAUAAAGAACAGCUUUGCGGUUAUACUAAUGUACAGUAAAUAUGCUAGGUAGGUUGAAUUGUUGAGUUAUGCAAGGCUUUCAGCUCUCUAUAAUGGUACAAUACUCAGGAAUGUUGUGUAACAGAUUUGUCCCCCCCCCCGCCUUUCAAAGUGGACCCAUAGAUACUUUCACUGUCACUGGUCCAUUUGCAUCCAUGCACUUUAACCUUCCCUUGCAGUAUUGCAGUGAUUAAUUCACCUCUUCAGUAAAGAGAGGUAGUGAGAGUUUUUGUCUCUUUUUUUCAAACUUUUUGAUUAUAUUAAGUGUGCCAUUUUUCAGUUCAAAUUUGAAACUGGGAAUUCUGUUUUAGCCUUUGCUUGUUUUUGGCCUAAUAAAAAGAAUCCAACCAUUA